AGAUUUGGGCUGCUCUCCAUGGCGAGCCGCGGCCUUCAGCGUCUCGCACUUCGAUUUCUAGGCGGCUUCCGAAUCGUGCCACAAUAAGCAACCAAAACGCAGACGGAAGAGCUUGGAGGCGAAGGCCAUGGACUCCUUCGCCUUCUGCACCAUGCCGCUGCUCGCCUUUUCCCACUCUCUCAAAUUUCCCCACAGGCUCUACCUCCGACGGCUGCUUGCCCCGCCAAAUCCGGGCCUCUUUACUGCCGGGAGAGCCAGGUGCUUCGGUAGCCUCCACCCCAACAGACCGCGAGAAAUUUUCCUUAUUUCCUUAGCAGGGAGUCUUUUGCGGACUUCUUCUUUGGGGUCGCCAGUUAAUCGUGGAUUGGCUUGCAUAUCGAGCUCCACUGGGUCGUCUGGCCCCAAUGGCGGCGGAAACGAUGGGACUGGCCGUUGGGAUGGUGACGGUGGUGGGGAUGGUGGAUUCCGCGGCAGCGGUGCGCAAUCCUUCUCUAUCGGAGAAGAGUCCGUUGAGGCUUCUUCCCGCGUGCCAGACGUGAUAAUUCUUGAUGUUGGGGGAAUGACUUGCGGAGGAUGUGCUGCCAGCGUGAAGCGCAUUUUGGAGAGUCAACCUCAAGUGUCAUCAGCAAGUGUUAAUCUUGCAACUGAGACUGCAAUUGUGUGGGCAAUUCCUGAAACCAAGGUCUUGCCAAACUGGAAACAACAAUUGGGAGUUAGACUUGCAGGCAAUUUGACAACUUGUGGAUUCAAAUCCAGUUUUCGAGAUUCUGAUAGAGUGAAUGUUUACAAAGUAUUUGAGAGGAAGAUGGAUGAAAAGCUUCAGAAAUUAAAACAAAGCGGUAGAGAGCUUGCUGUAUCAUGGGCGUUAUGUGCUGUAUGUCUCCUAGGGCAUGUCUCUCACAUCUUUAAAGCUGGUCCUUCUUGGCUUCAGACUUGCCAUUCUACUAGUUUUCAUAUGUCACUUUCGUUGUUCACAUUUUUUGGUCCUGGUCGCAAACUUGUUCUUGAUGGCUUCAGAAGUUUGUUCAUGGGUUCGCCUAACAUGAACACAUUAGUUGGCUUAGGUGCUUUAUCAUCCUUUGCAGUCAGUUCAAUUGCUGCCUUAAUUCCAAAACUGGGAUGGAAAACAUUCUUUGAGGAGCCAAUUAUGCUGAUAGCUUUUGUUCUACUGGGGAAGAAUCUUGAACAGAGAGCCAAGAUAAAAGCAACUAGUGACAUGACAGGGCUCCUGAAUAUCCUUCCAGCAAAAGCACGCCUCAUGAUCCACACUGAUGCAAGAGAGGUUCCAUCAACUGUGGAGGUUCCAUGUAGUAACCUCCACAUUGGUGACCAGGUUGUCGUACUCCCAGGAGAUCGUGUACCAGCUGAUGGAAUCGUUAAAGCUGGAAGAAGUACAGUUGAUGAAUCAAGUUUCACUGGAGAGCCUCUACCUGUGACAAAACUGCCUGGGGCUGAAGUCACAGCUGGAAGCAUUAACUUGAAUGGCACACUAACCAUAGAAGUAAGAAGACCAGGAGGGGAAACUGCUAUGGGAGAUAUUGUUCGGUUGGUGGAGAAUGCACAGACAAGGGAAGCUCCUGUGCAACGUUUAGCUGAUAAGGUUGCGGGACAUUUUACAUAUGGAGUUAUGGCAUUAUCAGCUGCCACUUUUGCUUUCUGGAGUUUGUUUGGUUCACAACUUGUACCGGCUGCUCUCAUACAAGGAAGUGUAGUGUCGUUGGCCUUGCAGCUUUCAUGUAGUGUUCUGGUUGUUGCAUGUCCAUGUGCACUUGGGCUGGCGACUCCAACUGCUGUUCUGGUAGGAACCUCAUUAGGGGCGACCCGAGGAUUGCUUUUACGGGGUGGUGACGUCUUGGAGAAGUUUGCGGCUGUGGAUACAAUUGUGUUUGAUAAAACAGGAACUUUGACAAUUGGAAAGCCAGUUGUGACUAGGGUUAUGCCUUCUUUAUUUGAUGAACAUGAGCAUUCAAAAGAAAACAGUGGCUUCAAAUGGACUGAAGCUGAUAUUUUGAGGUUAGCUGCUGGGGUGGAAUCAAAUACUAAUCAUCCCAUUGGAAAGGCUAUUGUUGAAGCGGCUCAUUCCAUUGGUUGUGAAAAUGUCAAGGCUAAAGAUGGGACAUUCACUGAGGAACCUGGCUCUGGUGCAGUAGCUAUAAUUGAAAAAAUGAAGGUUUCUGUUGGGACUUUAAGCUGGGUCAGAAGGCAUGGUGUCCAUGGGAACCAAUUUCCAGAUGCAGAGUCUCAGAACCAGUCUGUUGUUUAUGUAGGAGUUGAUAGUGCAUUAGCAGGUGUUAUUUAUUUUGAGGAUAAAGUAAGGGAAGACGCACGACUGGUUGUUGAGACUUUGGCUAAGCAAGGAAUAAACAUAUAUAUGCUAUCUGGAGACAAGAAGAAUGCUGCUGAAUACGUAGCAUCUAUGAUUGGUAUUGACAAAAGAAAGGUGCUUUAUGAAGUUAAACCAGAGGAGAAAAAGAGAUUCAUCUCUGAACUUCAAAAAGAGAAACAAAUUGUUGCUAUGGUUGGUGAUGGUAUUAAUGAUGCCGCUGCCUUGGCUUCAGCAGAUGUUGGUAUUGCAAUGGGUGAAGGUGUUGGUGCAGCUAGUGAUGUAUCUUCAGUUGUGCUUUUGGGCAAUAAAUUGUCACAGGUAUUCAUAUGUCAUAUUGACUGGAGCAGAGUAAAUCAAUUUCUUGUCCAAGUUGGAGGGAAAUUGCAACUUUCAACUCAGACAUGGGAUAAUGAACCCAUGGUUCACCACAAACUAAUCUUCCUUUGAUGAUGUACACAUUAAAAAACUUGUUGGCAUAGCAAGGCUAUGUCACUAAAUAGUUGCAAAUCAAGUUUUCAGUUUGAGCCUUUUAUGAUGCAAACACAAAAGCUGGUUGUCUGUCAAGCGGUCAUGCACUGAAGCCAUAUUUUGCUGCCAUCAGACUGAACCUCACUCUUCUAAGGGAUGUUUCUUGCUUAUGUUUUUGUUUUACAAUUAUAAUCUUAUACUUUGUAGUUUUGAUAGUCACAUCACGACUCAUUUGGUAACUUGGAACUUGUAUGGAUGAUUUUAUUGAUAAUGAUCAUUGGAGCUUAAUAUAUUCUUAUCUUCAACCAUUGUGCAGUAGAACUUAGAAGAAUCUUUAUCUUCAACUAAUCGAGCUGGAAAGUUUAUCAGCUCAAUUCCUGCAUUCAGUAAAAGUUUGAGCCUUUGCUGACAAUCCUGAUUGAUGCUUUGGAUUUGAGCAAGUCGACUAUGAAAACGGUAAAGCAAAACCUCUGGUGGGCAUUUGCCUACAAUAUU
This is an RNA transcript of Zingiber officinale, 3289 nucleotides long. It is a transcript of the gene named copper-transporting ATPase PAA1, chloroplastic-like, with no coding region annotated. Lineage: Eukaryota; Viridiplantae; Streptophyta; Magnoliopsida; Zingiberales; Zingiberaceae. The transcript is spliced from 17 exons. The record is from RefSeq and is a predicted model, not a curated record.